RNAcentral lists this ribosomal RNA (225 nucleotides) under uncultured Rhizobium sp. RNAcentral's name for it is "partial 16S ribosomal RNA". It matches the Rfam family "Bacterial small subunit ribosomal RNA", at positions 568 to 792 of the family's 1533-position model. Lineage: Bacteria; Pseudomonadati; Pseudomonadota; Alphaproteobacteria; Hyphomicrobiales; Rhizobiaceae. The record is from RNAcentral.
CACGUAGGCGGAUCGAUCAGUCAGGGGUGAAAUCCCAGGGCUCAACCCUGGAACUGCCUUUGAUACUGUCGAUCUGGAGUAUGGAAGAGGUGAGUGGAAUUCCGAGUGUAGAGGUGAAAUUCGUAGAUAUUCGGAGGAACACCAGUGGCGAAGGCGGCUCACUGGUCCAUUACUGACGCUGAGGUGCGAAAGCGUGGGGAGCAAACAGGAUUAGAUACCCCCGUA